GCAUUAACCAUCAUCAUCUAUUUUAAUCUACAAGUAGAUUUUGAUGUUCCAUUACAUUUUUUAAGCUAGAGUUCAGGAAUAAAUAAUAUUGGAGAAAAGUAAGUUCAUUCUCCAAAUCCAGAAAGCAACAAUAUCACUUCUAACAUAAAUCGGAACAAACGAAAACGAAAAAUUACAAGCAACCAAGAAGAUUGAUUCACCUAGAUGCAACUCAACUAGAUGAAGCAGACUGCAAGUUUUUGCGCUCAGCUGUUACCUUCUGGUCAUCAAAGUAAUCCUGAAGAGCUGUCAUUUUAAUCUUGUUGCAUUUUAAGCUUUUAAUUGCAUCAGCAGUGGCCAAAGCACCUGCAACUGUUGUUAUCACUGGUAUCUUAUAUGCGAGAGCCAUCCUUCUCAGCUUCCGGCCAUCAAUCUGAUCAAGGGCGUCUCCUGAACUUGUGAUCACCAUCAACUGAAUCUGUCCAUUGGCGAUGAGAUCAGCAGCAUGU
Molecule: unclassified non-coding RNA, 488 nt
Filed under: Hevea brasiliensis (rubber tree)
Lineage: Eukaryota; Viridiplantae; Streptophyta; Magnoliopsida; Malpighiales; Euphorbiaceae
Source: RNAcentral